This 690-nucleotide ribosomal RNA is filed under the name Triticum aestivum (bread wheat). RNAcentral's name for it is "partial small subunit ribosomal RNA". The record is from RNAcentral. Lineage: Eukaryota; Viridiplantae; Streptophyta; Magnoliopsida; Poales; Poaceae.
AUGGCUUCAGGUGCAGCCGCUCUUACUCUGAGGCUGGCCGCCGUCGCUGCUGUCCUCGCCCUGCUGGUCAUACCCUCCUUGGCAGACUGUCCGUCCCUUGGUCCGGCACCACCACCACCAGCGCAGGCGCCACCGCCACCGCCGGAGGCGAUGCCACCACCACUACCGGCGCAGGCGCCGCCACCCCCACUAGAGGCGAUACCACCACCACCACCGGCACAGGCGCCACCGCCACCACCGGAGGCGAUACCACCACCACCACCGGCACAGGCUCCAUCGCCACCACCGGAGGCGAUACCACCACCACCACCGGCACAGGCGUCAACGCCACCACCGGAGGCGAUACCGCCAGCGCCCGUGCCGGAUCCACCUCGGCCAUGCAACAUCUGUAGCAGAGAGUGCUACCCGGCGUGCACAGAGGCCAUAGCCUCUCUGCCGGAGUCGAGGGCAUGCGACGAGAAAUGCUUCAACGAGAAGAGGCGCUGCGACCAGUGCAGAACCCCCAAGAUCGAGGAGUGCAAGGCCAAUUGCAGCGGCAGCUGUGACUGCCUCACCCAAUCCUACAAGUCAUGCAGCGACGACUGCCUCUUCCCAGAAUGUAGCCCCUGCGCGACCACCCGUCAACAUCAGUAUAAGUAUUGCAGGUACCAGUGCAACAUCGACUACUGCAACGGCAAUAAGUGCUGGUGA